Molecule: ribosomal RNA, 253 nt
Filed under: uncultured bacterium
Lineage: Bacteria
Description: partial 16S ribosomal RNA
Rfam family: Bacterial small subunit ribosomal RNA
Source: RNAcentral
UACGGGGGGUGCAAGCGUUGCUCGGAAUCACUGGGCGUAAAGCGUCCGCAGGCGGGACGGUCAGUCGAAUGUGAAAGCCCGGGGCUCAACCCCGGAACUGCGUUCGAUACUGCCGUCCUCGAGUUCGGGAGAGGGGAGCGGAAUUCCUGGUGUAGAGGUGAAAUUCGUAGAUAUCAGGAGGAACACCAGUGGCGAAAGCGGCUCCCUGGCCCGAUACUGACGCUCAUGGACGAAAGCGUGGGGAGCAAACAGG